This 279-nucleotide unclassified non-coding RNA is filed under the name Hevea brasiliensis (rubber tree). Lineage: Eukaryota; Viridiplantae; Streptophyta; Magnoliopsida; Malpighiales; Euphorbiaceae. The record is from RNAcentral.
GCACUUGGGCAACAGCAGUUUGAUGAAGCCAAGCUGUGUUGGUAUCAUGCUAUUGGAACCAAGCUGGAUUUAGAAAAUGGACCCUCUGAGGAGGUCCUUGACCUUUAUAACAAGGCUGAGGACAGCAUGGAGAAAGGCGUGCAGAUGUUGGAAGAGAUGGAGGAGCAGCGUCUAAAUGGGCUUUCCAAAUUUGACAAAUACAAAGCNNNNNNNNGCAAAAAUUUGGUCUGGAUGGGCUAUUGAAAGAUGUAUCUGCUGAAGAAGCAGCAGAGCAGGCAG